GUUAUAUGGUCAAGUGAAGAAGCGCAUACGGUGGAUGCCUUGGCAGUCAGAGGCGAUGAAAGACGUGGUAGCCUGCGAAAAGCUUUGGGGAGUCGGCAAACAGACUGUGAUCCAGAGAUCUCUGAAUGGGGGAACCCAGCCAGCACAAGCUGGUUAUCUUGUACUGAAUACAUAGGUGCAAGAGGCGAACCAGGGGAACUGAAACAUCUAAGUACCCUGAGGAAAAGAAAUCAACCGAGAUUCCCUUAGUAGUGGCGAGCGAACGGGGACCAGCCCUUAAGUUGGUUUGAGAUUAGUGGAACGCUCUGGAAAGUGCGGCCAUAGUGGGUGAUAGCCCCGUACACGAAAAUCUCUUAUCAAUGAAAUCGAGU
Molecule: ribosomal RNA, 371 nt
Filed under: Streptococcus pseudopneumoniae
Lineage: Bacteria; Bacillati; Bacillota; Bacilli; Lactobacillales; Streptococcaceae
Description: partial 23S ribosomal RNA
Rfam family: Bacterial large subunit ribosomal RNA
Source: RNAcentral